This 2922-nucleotide ribosomal RNA is filed under the name Staphylococcus aureus. Its description in RNAcentral is "23S ribosomal RNA". It matches the Rfam family "Bacterial large subunit ribosomal RNA". The record is from RNAcentral. Lineage: Bacteria; Bacillati; Bacillota; Bacilli; Caryophanales; Staphylococcaceae.
GAUUAAGUUAUUAAGGGCGCACGGUGGAUGCCUUGGCACUAGAAGCCGAUGAAGGACGUUACUAACGACGAUAUGCUUUGGGGAGCUGUAAGUAAGCUUUGAUCCAGAGAUUUCCGAAUGGGGAAACCCAGCAUGAGUUAUGUCAUGUUAUCGAUAUGUGAAUACAUAGCAUAUCAGAAGGCACACCGGAGAACUGAAACAUCUUAGUACCCGGAGGAAGAGAAAGAAAAUUCGAUUCCCUUAGUAGCGGCGAGCGAAACGGGAAGAGCCCAAACCAACAAGCUUGCUUGUUGGGGUUGUAGGACACUCUAUACGGAGUUACAAAGGACGACAUUAGACGAAUCAUCUGGAAAGAUGAAUCAAAGAAGGUAAUAAUCCUGUAGUCGAAAAUGUUGUCUCUCUUGAGUGGAUCCUGAGUACGACGGAGCACGUGAAAUUCCGUUGGAAUCUGGGAGGACCAUCUCCUAAGGCUAAAUACUCUCUAGUGACCGAUAGUGAACCAGUACCGUGAGGGAAAGGUGAAAAGCACCCCGGAAGGGGAGUGAAAUAGAACCUGAAACCGUGUGCUUACAAGUAGUCAGAGCCCGUUAAUGGGUGAUGGCGUGCCUUUUGUAGAAUGAACCGGCGAGUUACGAUUUGAUGCAAGGUUAAGCAGUAAAUGUGGAGCCGUAGCGAAAGCGAGUCUGAAUAGGGCGUUUAGUAUUUGGUCGUAGACCCGAAACCAGGUGAUCUACCCUUGGUCAGGUUGAAGUUCAGGUAACACUGAAUGGAGGACCGAACCGACUUACGUUGAAAAGUGAGCGGAUGAACUGAGGGUAGCGGAGAAAUUCCAAUCGAACCUGGAGAUAGCUGGUUCUCUCCGAAAUAGCUUUAGGGCUAGCCUCAAGUGAUGAUUAUUGGAGGUAGAGCACUGUUUGGACGAGGGGCCCCUCUCGGGUUACCGAAUUCAGACAAACUCCGAAUGCCAAUUAAUUUAACUUGGGAGUCAGAACAUGGGUGAUAAGGUCCGUGUUCGAAAGGGAAACAGCCCAGACCACCAGCUAAGGUCCCAAAAUAUAUGUUAAGUGGAAAAGGAUGUGGCGUUGCCCAGACAACUAGGAUGUUGGCUUAGAAGCAGCCAUCAUUUAAAGAGUGCGUAAUAGCUCACUAGUCGAGUGACACUGCGCCGAAAAUGUACCGGGGCUAAACAUAUUACCGAAGCUGUGGAUUGUCCUUUGGACAAUGGUAGGAGAGCGUUCUAAGGGCGUUGAAGCAUGAUCGUAAGGACAUGUGGAGCGCUUAGAAGUGAGAAUGCCGGUGUGAGUAGCGAAAGACGGGUGAGAAUCCCGUCCACCGAUUGACUAAGGUUUCCAGAGGAAGGCUCGUCCGCUCUGGGUUAGUCGGGUCCUAAGCUGAGGCCGACAGGCGUAGGCGAUGGAUAACAGGUUGAUAUUCCUGUACCACCUAUAAUCGUUUUAAUCGAUGGGGGGACGCAGUAGGAUAGGCGAAGCGUGCGAUUGGAUUGCACGUCUAAGCAGUAAGGCUGAGUAUUAGGCAAAUCCGGUACUCAUUAAGGCUGAGCUGUGAUGGGGAGAAGACAUUGUGUCUUCGAGUCGUUGAUUUCACACUGCCGAGAAAAGCCUCUAGAUAGAAAAUAGGUGCCCGUACCGCAAACCGACACAGGUAGUCAAGAUGAGAAUUCUAAGGUGAGCGAGCGAACUCUCGUUAAGGAACUCGGCAAAAUGACCCCGUAACUUCGGGAGAAGGGGUGCUCUUUAGGGUUAACGCCCAGAAGAGCCGCAGUGAAUAGGCCCAAGCGACUGUUUAUCAAAAACACAGGUCUCUGCUAAACCGUAAGGUGAUGUAUAGGGGCUGACGCCUGCCCGGUGCUGGAAGGUUAAGAGGAGUGGUUAGCUUCUGCGAAGCUACGAAUCGAAGCCCCAGUAAACGGCGGCCGUAACUAUAACGGUCCUAAGGUAGCGAAAUUCCUUGUCGGGUAAGUUCCGACCCGCACGAAAGGCGUAACGAUUUGGGCACUGUCUCAACGAGAGACUCGGUGAAAUCAUAGUACCUGUGAAGAUGCAGGUUACCCGCGACAGGACGGAAAGACCCCGUGGAGCUUUACUGUAGCCUGAUAUUGAAAUUCGGCACAGCUUGUACAGGAUAGGUAGGAGCCUUUGAAACGUGAGCGCUAGCUUACGUGGAGGCGCUGGUGGGAUACUACCCUAGCUGUGUUGGCUUUCUAACCCGCACCACUUAUCGUGGUGGGAGACAGUGUCAGGCGGGCAGUUUGACUGGGGCGGUCGCCUCCUAAAAGGUAACGGAGGCGCUCAAAGGUUCCCUCAGAAUGGUUGGAAAUCAUUCAUAGAGUGUAAAGGCAUAAGGGAGCUUGACUGCGAGACCUACAAGUCGAGCAGGGUCGAAAGACGGACUUAGUGAUCCGGUGGUUCCGUAUGGAAGGGCCAUCGCUCAACGGAUAAAAGCUACCCCGGGGAUAACAGGCUUAUCUCCCCCAAGAGUUCACAUCGACGGGGAGGUUUGGCACCUCGAUGUCGGCUCAUCGCAUCCUGGGGCUGUAGUCGGUCCCAAGGGUUGGGCUGUUCGCCCAUUAAAGCGGUACGCGAGCUGGGUUCAGAACGUCGUGAGACAGUUCGGUCCCUAUCCGUCGUGGGCGUAGGAAAUUUGAGAGGAGCUGUCCUUAGUACGAGAGGACCGGGAUGGACAUACCUCUGGUGUACCAGUUGUCGUGCCAACGGCAUAGCUGGGUAGCUAUGUGUGGACGGGAUAAGUGCUGAAAGCAUCUAAGCAUGAAGCCCCCCUCAAGAUGAGAUUUCCCAACUUCGGUUAUAAGAUCCCUCAAAGAUGAUGAGGUUAAUAGGUUCGAGGUGGAAGCAUGGUGACAUGUGGAGCUGACGAAUACUAAUCGAUCGAAGACUUAAUCAA